Molecule: ribosomal RNA, 266 nt
Filed under: uncultured Staphylococcus sp.
Lineage: Bacteria; Bacillati; Bacillota; Bacilli; Caryophanales; Staphylococcaceae
Description: partial 16S ribosomal RNA
Rfam family: Bacterial small subunit ribosomal RNA
Source: RNAcentral
CGGCGGACGGGUGAGUAACACGUGGAUAACUUACCUAUAAGACUGGGAUAACUUCGGGAAACCGGAGCUAAUACCGGAUAAUAUAUUGAACCGCAUGGUUCAAUAGUGAAAGACGGUUUUGCUGUCACUUAUAGAUGGAUCCGCGCCGCAUUAGCUAGUUGGUAAGGUAACGGCUUACCAAGGCAACGAUGNGUAGCCGACCUGAGAGGGUGAUCGGCCACACUGGAACUGAGACACGGUCCAGACUCCUACGGGAGGCAGCAGGC